Molecule: ribosomal RNA, 254 nt
Filed under: uncultured bacterium
Lineage: Bacteria
Description: partial 16S ribosomal RNA
Rfam family: Bacterial small subunit ribosomal RNA
Source: RNAcentral
GACAGAGGUGCCGAGCGUUAGGCGGAAUCACUGGGCUUAAAGCGCGUGUAGGCGGGGCGGCACGUCGGUCGCUGAAAUCCCCCGGCUCAACCGGGGAAGGGGCGCCGAUACGACCGGCCUGGAGGGACGUAGGGGGAGCUGGAACUUCCGGUGGAGCGGUGAAAUGCGUUGAGAUCGGAAGGAACGCCCGUGGCGAAAGCGAGCUCCUGGACGUUUUCUGACGCUGAGACGCGAAAGCCAGGGGAGCGAACGGG